RNAcentral lists this ribosomal RNA (465 nucleotides) under Vreelandella stevensii. Its description in RNAcentral is "partial 16S ribosomal RNA". It matches the Rfam family "Bacterial small subunit ribosomal RNA", at positions 338 to 795 of the family's 1533-position model. Lineage: Bacteria; Pseudomonadati; Pseudomonadota; Gammaproteobacteria; Oceanospirillales; Halomonadaceae. The record is from RNAcentral.
CCUGCGGGAGGCAGCAGUGGGGAAUAUUGGACAAUGGGCGAAAGCCUGAUCCAGCCAUGCCGCGUGUGUGAAGAAGGCCUUCGGGUUGUAAAGCACUUUCAGUGGGGAAGAAAGCCUUGGGGCUAAUACCCUCGAGGAAGGACAUCACCCACAGAAGAAGCACCGGCUAACUCCGUGCCAGCAGCCGCGGUAAUACGGAGGGUGCGAGCGUUAAUCGGAAUUACUGGGCGUAAAGCGCGCGUAGGCGGUCUGAUAAGCCGGUUGUGAAAGCCCCGGGCUCAACCUGGGAACGGCAUCCGGAACUGUCAGGCUAGAGUGCAGGAGAGGAAGGUAGAAUUCCCGGUGUAGCGGUGAAAUGCGUAGAGAUCGGGAGGAAUACCAGUGGCGAAGGCGGCCUUCUGGACUGACACUGACGCUGAGGUGCGAAAGCGUGGGUAGCAAACAGGAUUAGAUACCCCGGUAGUC